AAGGAAUAAGGUGAUGGUGUUCGCCUUUAAACGUUGAUCGAAAGACAGCUAAUGACGCCUACUAGAGA
This 68-nucleotide non-coding RNA is filed under the name Enterococcus faecalis. RNAcentral's name for it is "Fluoride sequence". It matches the Rfam family "Fluoride riboswitch aptamer (crcB RNA motif)". The record is from RNAcentral. Lineage: Bacteria; Bacillati; Bacillota; Bacilli; Lactobacillales; Enterococcaceae.